UACGUAGCAUGCGAGCGUUGUCCGGAAUUAUUGGGCGUAAAGGGCUCGUAGGCGGUCUGUUACGUCGGGAGUGAAAACUCGGGGCUCAACCCCGAGCCUGCUUCCGAUACGGGCAGACUAGAGGUAUGCAGGGGAGAAUGGAAUUCCUGGUGUAGCGGUGAAAUGCGCAGAUAUCAGGAGGAACACCGGUGGCGAAGGCGGUUCUCUGGGCAUUACCUGACGCGGAGGAGCGAAAGUGUGGGGAGCGAACAGG
This 253-nucleotide ribosomal RNA is filed under the name uncultured bacterium. RNAcentral's name for it is "partial 16S ribosomal RNA". It matches the Rfam family "Bacterial small subunit ribosomal RNA", at positions 524 to 776 of the family's 1533-position model. The record is from RNAcentral.